AAGCCUACGGGGCGCAGCAGUGAGGAAUAUUGGUCAAUGGGCGGGAGCCUGAACCAGCCAAGUCGCGUGAAGGAAGAAGGUACUUAGUAUUGUAAACUUCUUUUGUCGGGGAACAAAGGCGGAGACGCGUCUCCGGAUGAGUGUACCCGAAGAAAAAGCAUCGGCUAACUCCGUGCCAGCAGCCGCGGUAAUACGGAGGAUGCGAGCGUUAUCCGGAUUUAUUGGGUUUAAAGGGUGCGCAGGCGGUUUUUUAAGUUAGUGGUUAAACGUCGGGGCUUCACCUUGAUUUGCCAU
RNAcentral lists this ribosomal RNA (294 nucleotides) under uncultured bacterium. RNAcentral's name for it is "partial 16S ribosomal RNA". It matches the Rfam family "Bacterial small subunit ribosomal RNA", at positions 335 to 627 of the family's 1533-position model. The record is from RNAcentral.